This 429-nucleotide ribosomal RNA is filed under the name uncultured Lactobacillus sp. Its description in RNAcentral is "bacterial SSU rRNA". It matches the Rfam family "Bacterial small subunit ribosomal RNA", at positions 355 to 776 of the family's 1533-position model. Lineage: Bacteria; Bacillati; Bacillota; Bacilli; Lactobacillales; Lactobacillaceae. The record is from RNAcentral.
UAGGGAAUCUUCCACAAUGGACGCAAGUCUGAUGGAGCAACGCCGCGUGAGUGAAGAAGGUUUUCGGAUCGUAAAGCUCUGUUGUUGGUGAAGAAGGACAGGGAAAGCAACUGGUCUCUGUUUGACGGUAAUCAACCAGAAAGUCACGGCUAACUACGUGCCAGCAGCCGCGGUAAUACGUAGGUGGCAAGCGUUGUCCGGAUUUAUUGGGCGUAAAGCGAACGCAGGCGGGAGAAUAAGUCAGCUGUGAAAGCCCUCAGCUUAACUGGGGAACUGCAGCUGAAACUAUUUUUCUUGAGUGCAGAAGAGGAGAGUGGAACUCCAUGUGUAGCGGUGGAAUGCGUAGAUAUAUGGAAGAACACCAGUGGCGAAGGCGGCUGUCUAGUCUGUAACUGACGCUGAGGCUCGAAAGCAUGGGUAGCGAACAGG